GACAGAGGGUGCAAGCGUUGUUCGGAAUUACUGGGCGUAAAGCGCGUGUAGGCGGCUCUGCAAGUCGGGUGUGAAAUCCCAUGGCUCAACUAUGGAAGUGCACUCGAAACUGCAGGGCUAGAGUCCUGGAGAGGAAGGUGGAAUGCUUGGUGUAGAGGUGAAAUUCGUAGAUAUCAAGAGGAACACCGGUGGCGAAGGCGGCCUUCUGGACAGUGACUGACGCUGAGACGCGAAAGCGUGGGGAGCAAACAGG
Molecule: ribosomal RNA, 253 nt
Filed under: uncultured bacterium
Lineage: Bacteria
Description: partial 16S ribosomal RNA
Rfam family: Bacterial small subunit ribosomal RNA
Source: RNAcentral